AUUCAGCUUUCUCCAACUCACCCUCAUCCAGGCCAAUGAUGGCUUAGAAGAGAAGAAAACAAAGCAUCUGCCAACAAGAGUAGAGGUUUGAAGAGACAUGAUAGAGGUUGGUGACUCUCAAAUGGAUAUGAACUGGCAUGGUUUUCACUGUGCAGGAUGGCAUGAACCUUGGAUUCCACAACCACACCUCGCCUCGGCCAUCAAUGGAAUUUACUGAACACUUACUAUGUGCAGGGCACUGUACUAAGCAGUUGUGAGAGAAAAUGACCCAUUAUUGUUACUUGUGGGGAUUAAACUUUGCAUACAAUUUAUGUAAAGCGAAUGUCUUGUGCUCUAGAACCACUGAGGAAUUGGAUGCCACACGCAGACUAAUUCUAAGUCUAUUAUAAAGAUUUUGA
Long non-coding RNA from Ornithorhynchus anatinus (platypus), 398 nucleotides. RefSeq lists it as uncharacterized. The record is from RefSeq and is a predicted model, not a curated record. The transcript has 4 exons. Lineage: Eukaryota; Metazoa; Chordata; Mammalia; Monotremata; Ornithorhynchidae.